RNAcentral lists this ribosomal RNA (453 nucleotides) under Actinomyces sp. oral taxon 180. RNAcentral describes it as "bacterial SSU rRNA". It matches the Rfam family "Bacterial small subunit ribosomal RNA", at positions 28 to 478 of the family's 1533-position model. Lineage: Bacteria; Bacillati; Actinomycetota; Actinomycetes; Actinomycetales; Actinomycetaceae. The record is from RNAcentral.
GACGAACGCUGGCGGCGUGCUUAACACAUGCAAGUCGAACGCUGAAGCCUGGCUUUUGUUGGGUGGAUGAGUGGCGAACGGGUGAGUAACACGUGAGUAACCUGCCCCCUUCUUUGGGAUAACGCCCGGAAACGGGUGCUAAUACUGGAUAUUCACUGGUCUUCGCAUGGGGGUUGGUGGAAAGGGUUUUCUGGUGGGGGAUGGGCUCGCGGCCUAUCAGCUUGUUGGUGGGGUGAUGGCCUACCAAGGCUUUGACGGGUAGCCGGCCUGAGAGGGUGACCGGUCACAUUGGGACUGAGAUACGGCCCAGACUCCUACGGGAGGCAGCAGUGGGGAAUAUUGCACAAUGGGCGCAAGCCUGAUGCAGCGACGCCGCGUGAGGGAUGGAGGCCUUCGGGUUGUGAACCUCUUUCGCUCAUGGUCAAGCCGCAACAAUGGUUGUGGAGAGGGUAG